GAAUAACUAAAGAAGUAGAAAGUGAGCGCCAUUUUUAACGAGAAAAACCGGAGCUCUAAAAUAUAGCAUUUUCGUAUCUCAGCAAAAGUGUUCAAGAAAUAUGAGCAUUGGCAUAGCUUCUUCAUCCGACUCUGUAAUUAAAUGGAGCACAGAAGGCUGGAGUAUUGAACCCAGUCUUGAAAAAUCCGGACAGUCGACGGUGUUGCUGGAAUGCCAUGUCAAUGAGACAGCCCGGCAAGCUAUAAAGAUAAUCAAUGUUGGAAAAACGGAAGCGCUUUAUUUUGAAAUUAUAAGGUGUUCAAAAAAUUCUUCGUUUGAAAAACGCAUAAGAUUGCUCAAACCGGUUUUCUUUGUUGAUCAUAGGAAAGGUUCUGUUCUACCUGGAGGUUCCUUUCAAAUCAACAUUACUUUUAAGUCAGGUGAGUCAGGGAUAUUUAAAGAGACGUGGGAGAUACAGGCCUUCCACUUUUCAACAAAAACUAAAGCUAUUUGCGUGGCUCUGAAUGGUUUGGCAACUGAAACUGAUGAAACAGUUGCAAAAGAACAAAAAAGGAUAGAGAUGGUUUUAACACAUAGAAUAGCCCAGAAGGUUGCCUCUCAACUAGUUGAGAACCUCACACUGCAGGCAUCUGUUAUGAACAAAGAACCUAAAUUUCUCCCAAUGUCUUGGAAAAGGACGCCUCACCAGAAGUUUUUAUGUUUUAAAAUAUACGCCUCUUCACCAUACCAAAUUGUUUACAGUUUGUUGGCUGAUUUUAUUGAAAAUACCAACGAUGUGAGAGCAGUAUUACGUGCAGCUUUUGGACUUGUUGAAACGAAUGAUAAAGACAAACAUGAAAUGUCCAGAAAUGAAAAAAAGACACAGAGUAAAUCAAAGAAGAGAGCUUCAGGCAGUCGAGAUGGAAAAUUGAAAGAUCAAGGAGGUAAGAAAGAAAUAAGCAGAAAAAUGUCAGAAGAAUGUACAGAGAAAUACCACCAUGAACAUAUUAUGGAAACGACUUCAAAGAAAUACAAACAGCUGUUACUAUUACAGGAAUGUGGAUCAACUUGGGGACUAGGACCAUCCAGAAAGAAACCUUCAGUAGUUUGUACUCCUGCCAGGGUUAGUAAAGUUUGGAUCUUGUGAACAGUAAGAGUCCAUGAACACAAAUGGCAGUGGUAGAAACAGUAUUCAACAUAAUCAAGAAGUAUUUCCAUCCAGGAAAGUGACAUGUAAGUCAUAUACACAGUGAAUGAUUCUAUGACAUAUGUGUUCAGGUGCUGUGUACCUCUGUGGUGUAUAAAAAUUCCAUGUAUUUUUAUCUUCUUGUAUUAGUAUGAUAUUUAUUCGGAAUUUAUUUUUUAUUGUGUUUAUCACCAGGCUUCACAUAAUAUGUGUUUCAGAAAGUUGUUAAGUUGGUUCAUUCUAAUUACCUUUAUUACUUUGUUAUUCUCAAGAAAAUAAUACCUGUUUUGCUGCAAUACUGCAUUAUAUGCAAGGAUAUGGACAACAUUGUCCUUCAGUGGUUGUUCAGGUGAUAUCUCGUGGAUAGAGCCUCACCUAUUUUGGAAUUAGAGUGACCAUCCACGCGAGAAGCUGUAGUCACUUUGGAUAAAUACGAUGUUUCUUAUGAAGUAAGGAACAUUGGACUUAGCCAGUGUGAUACGUGAAUUCGGCCUGAGCUGUUAAAUGUAGAACAUCCAGUAAAAGCAAUCAUCCCAUGUCAGUGUUGCAUUUGCUAACAAAGACAAUUGAACAAGUGUCUUCUAGUCUCCUGUAUUUUGACAAAUGAGUUCAUCCACGUACACUC
This 1790-nucleotide unclassified non-coding RNA is filed under the name Limulus polyphemus (Atlantic horseshoe crab). Its description in RNAcentral is "uncharacterized LOC111086600, transcript variant X3". Lineage: Eukaryota; Metazoa; Arthropoda; Merostomata; Xiphosura; Limulidae. The record is from RNAcentral.